RNAcentral lists this small nuclear RNA (57 nucleotides) under Carlito syrichta (Philippine tarsier). Its description in RNAcentral is "U7 small nuclear RNA (ENSTSYG00000037422.1)". It matches the Rfam family "U7 small nuclear RNA". Rfam says of the family: Animal histone pre-mRNAs are spliced by a different mechanism than nuclear pre-mRNAs and self-splicing introns. This processing involves the U7 snRNP, which contains only one RNA species: U7. The 5' end of U7 RNA is thought to base-pair to a conserved spacer element downstream of the cleavage site in histone pre-mRNA. Lineage: Eukaryota; Metazoa; Chordata; Mammalia; Primates; Tarsiidae. The record is from Rfam by way of RNAcentral.
AAGUGUUACAGCUCUCUUAGAAUUUGUCUAACAGGUUUUCUAGUAAAAAUUUCCCAU